This 492-nucleotide ribosomal RNA is filed under the name uncultured bacterium. RNAcentral describes it as "partial 16S ribosomal RNA". It matches the Rfam family "Bacterial small subunit ribosomal RNA", at positions 29 to 507 of the family's 1533-position model. The record is from RNAcentral.
AGUGAACGCUGGCGGUAGGCCUAACACAUGCAAGUCGAACGGCAGCACAGUAAGAGCUUGCUCUUACGGGUGGCGAGUGGCGGACGGGUGAGGAAUACAUCGGAAUCUACUUUUUCGUGGGGGAUAACGUAGGGAAACUUACGCUAAUACCGCAUACGACCUACGGGUGAAAGCAGGGGAUCUUCGGACCUUGCGCGAUUGAAUGAGCCGAUGUCGGAUUAGCUAGUUGGCGGGGUAAAGGCCCACCAAGGCGACGAUCCGUAGCUGGUCUGAGAGGAUGAUCAGCCACACUGGAACUGAGACACGGUCCAGACUCCUACGGGAGGCAGCGGUGGGGAAUAUUGGACAAUGGGCGCAAGCCUGAUCCAGCCAUACCGCGUGGGUGAAGAAGGCCUUCGGGUUGUAAAGCCCUUUUGUUGGGAAAGAAAAGCAGCAGGUUAAUACCCCGCUGUUUUGACGGUACCCAAAGAAUAAGCACCGGCUAACUUCGUG